UAGGGAAUCUUCGGCAAUGGGGGCAACCCUGACCGAGCAACGCCGCGUGAGUGAAGAAGGUUUUCGGAUCGUAAAGCUCUGUUGUAAGUCAAGAACGGGUGUGAGAGUGGAAAGUUCACACUGUGACGGUAGCUUACCAGAAAGGGACGGCUAACUACGUGCCAGCAGCCGCGGUAAUACGUAGGUCCCGAGCGUUGUCCGGAUUUAUUGGGCGUAAAGCGAGCGCAGGCGGUUUGAUAAGUCUGAAGUUAAAGGCUGUGGCUCAACCAUAGUUCGCUUUGGAAACUGUCAAACUUGAGUGCAGAAGGGGAGAGUGGAAUUCCAUGUGUAGCGGUGAAAUGCGUAGAUAUAUGGAGGAACACCGGUGGCGAAAGCGGCUCUCUGGUCUGUAACUGACGCUGAGGCUCGAAAGCGUGGGGAGCGAACAGGAUUAGAUACCCUGGUAGUCCACGCCGUAAACGAUGAGUGCUAGGUGUUGGAUCCUUUCCGGGAUUCAGUGCCGAAGCUAACGCAUUAAGCACUCCGCCUGGGGAGUACGACCGCAAGGUUGAAACUCUAAAGUGAAUUGAC
RNAcentral lists this ribosomal RNA (570 nucleotides) under uncultured bacterium. Its description in RNAcentral is "partial 16S ribosomal RNA". It matches the Rfam family "Bacterial small subunit ribosomal RNA", at positions 355 to 914 of the family's 1533-position model. The record is from RNAcentral.